This 253-nucleotide ribosomal RNA is filed under the name uncultured Bradyrhizobium sp. Its description in RNAcentral is "partial 16S ribosomal RNA". It matches the Rfam family "Bacterial small subunit ribosomal RNA", at positions 524 to 776 of the family's 1533-position model. The record is from RNAcentral. Lineage: Bacteria; Pseudomonadati; Pseudomonadota; Alphaproteobacteria; Hyphomicrobiales; Nitrobacteraceae.
GACGAAGGGGGCUAGCGUUGCUCGGAAUCACUGGGCGUAAAGGGUGCGUAGGUGGAUUUUUAAGUCAGGGGUGAAAUCCUGGAGCUCAACUCCAGAACUGCCUUUGAUACUGGGAAUCUUGAGUUCGGGAGAGGUGAGUGGAACUGCGAGUGUAGAGGUGAAAUUCGUAGAUAUUCGCAAGAACACCAGUGGCGAAGGCGGCUCACUGGCCCGAUACUGACACUGAGGCACGAAAGCGUGGGGAGCAAACAGG